Molecule: ribosomal RNA, 484 nt
Filed under: uncultured bacterium
Lineage: Bacteria
Description: partial 16S ribosomal RNA
Rfam family: Bacterial small subunit ribosomal RNA
Source: RNAcentral
AUUGAACGCUGGCGGCAGGCCUAACACAUGCAAGUCGAGCGGAUGAAGGGAGCUUGCUCCUGGAUUCAGCGGCGGACGGGUGAGUAAUGCCUAGGAAUCUGCCUGGUAGUGGGGGAUAACGUCCGGAAACGGGCGCUAAUACCGCAUACGUCCUGAGGGAGAAAGUGGGGGAUCUUCGGACCUCACGCUAUCAGAUGAGCCUAGGUCGGAUUAGCUAGUUGGUGGGGUAAAGGCCUACCAAGGCGACGAUCCGUAACUGGUCUGAGAGGAUGAUCAGUCACACUGGAACUGAGACACGGUCCAGACUCCUACGGGAGGCAGCAGUGGGGAAUAUUGGACAAUGGGCGAAAGCCUGAUCCAGCCAUGCCGCGUGUGUGAAGAAGGUAUUCGGAUUGUAAAGCACUUUAAGUUGGGAGGAAGGGCAGUAAGUUAAUACCUUGCUGUUUUGACGUUACCAACAGAAUAAGCACCGGCUAACUUCGUG